GCUGUAGUUUGUUCAGAGCACAGACCUGAAGGUGCCUGUCUCUGAACCUACUGGUUUGAAGUUUCUUCAUAUUUCCAUCUUUAGGAUGAACGGAAAUCUGAGCAGGAGGGGUACACCAAUCCAGUCCUUAUGAAGUCAACGGUAGGUUCAUCACAUUUCUAAAUUUCAUUGAACGGUUCCUAUUUCAAAGAUAACUUUAAAAUUUUUAAUUGAUU
This 215-nucleotide long non-coding RNA is filed under the name Felis catus (domestic cat). RNAcentral's name for it is "lncRNA (ENSFCAG00000051787.1)". Lineage: Eukaryota; Metazoa; Chordata; Mammalia; Carnivora; Felidae. The record is from RNAcentral.